Molecule: long non-coding RNA, 1615 nt
Filed under: Cyanistes caeruleus (blue tit)
Lineage: Eukaryota; Metazoa; Chordata; Aves; Passeriformes; Paridae
Description: lncRNA (ENSCCEG00000001636.1)
Source: RNAcentral
CAACGCGGGGCUCGGUGCUGACCUCGGUGCUGGCCCAGGGCUUCGGAUGUACUUAAUACCUUGUAGGAUAAGCUCACUGAUGAAAAUGAGCAGUUAGUCAAGAAGGUGAAAAAACUACAUAUAAAAAAUAAGGAGCUAGAAAAGAAUCUGGGUCAGAUUCAAGAUCAACUGCAUCUGCAGCAGUUAAUGCAUGUCUGUGGCACAAGCAGAGAGUAAGAAUUGUCAAACAUUUCUUUUACAUCAAAAGAAGUGCAGCAUUUUAAGACUUUUGUUCCCAUGUCCUUAAGAAGAGCUAGGCAUUAUCUUGUCUGUAUAUUUUAAGGAGUCAUGGGUGAACAGGAUGGUGGGGUGGAAAAUGUUGGCGGCCUGUAAAGAACAAAGGGUGUCUGGGGCAUCUUGUACAAAAUGUAUUGCAGUGAAAGAAACAGUUUUAAUAACAAAAAGGUAUACUCCUGCUUAGCCAAUAUGCUCUCUCUGUCAAACUGUGAAGGCUUUCACACUAUUUUUCUACCAAAAAGUAGUGAGAUAAAGAUAAGUUGAGGAGCAUCAAUGCUGCUUAAAAGAUUUAGAACAUAAGGACCUGAAAAACUGAAGUGCUAGUGGUUUGGAGAGUGUCCUGCCAGGAUUUACGUAUCGGUUCACAAAAAUCUUCCAAGGCUUAAGUUUUGGUGUGUUUAUGAUCCUGCCUGGAAACCUCUACGAUAAAAUCAAACUGAAAAGUUACUUGGUCUUUUUCUGUUGCUUUGUUUAAUUAAUUAAAUUUGUGAAAUAUGAUUUUAUGAAGCUAUUGUGUUUGUUUCAAUUAAGUGUUCAAGUUCAGACAGAAACCCAUUUAUGGCAUAAGGGUGGAGGCAGCAAGGAUCUGGUUCUAGAGAGUGACAGUGUCAGACUACUUCAGAUGUUUAAUGAGCUACAGAAACGUUAUGUUAAAGAAACCAAAAUAAACAAGGAGCAAAGUGAAGCAAUUAAAAAUCUCACUAUUAAAAUUAAUGAGCUAGAGCAUAAUCUUCAAGAGCAAAAGCAAAAAAUUGAGAAACUGGAACAUAAAAAGGUUUCUUGGAAAACUAAUGCUGUUUCUGGAAAACGAAGUCAAACCCCAGAGGGAGGAGUAAUUUCUCACAGGGACAUUUCUGCAAAGGAGUCCUGUUGCAGUAGAUAUUUAGAGCUAUUGUUGAAGGAGAUUAAAAAGCUGAAGAAAGAAAAUGGAAAGUUGUCUGCAGAAAAGAGAGCACUAAAAAAUGAAUUAGCUGGAUUAGACAAGGAUUUUUUUGAAGAGGUGGAAGAUUUAAAACAUGCUGUACAGGAAUCUAUGAAACUGAACAAUGAGUAUGAAAAGUGCUUGAAACAAAUAAGUGUAAUAUAUGGACUUCCUUUUACAGCACAUUUGUAACUACCGGCUAAUUUAAUGCCAGGUAGAUUUUUCCACAUAUUUUUUAUACUUACUGCAACAUUUAAACCUACCAUUGCUUAAGUGGUAAAAACCACAGUUUGAUAAUAUAGAUUCAGUAAUGUGAUCUCAAUAUAACAAGUGCUUGGAAAUGUUGUAUUUUGUGACCUUGAUUUUUUUUUUUUUUGUUUAUAUAUUUUUAAAUAAACUGUGAUCUGCAUAACUUCA